GUUUGUUCGUGGUAGCAUAUGGUAGUGUAUGGCAGUGUAUCACAGGAGGCUGCUGAGGUGAGGAAGGCUCAUAAUAAUGUCUUGAAUGCGUAUUGGAAUGGCAUCAAACACAUGGAAACCAUGUGUUUGAUGUAUUUGACACCAUUCCAACUCUUCCACUCCAGCCAUUACAACAAGCCCGUCCUCCCCAUUUAAGGUGCCACUAACCUCCUGUGUAUUGUGUGGUAUUGUGUGGUGGUGUGUAUGGUAGUUUGUGAUAGCGUGUACGGUAGUGUGUGUGUGUGUAUGGUAGUGUGUGAUAGUGUGUGUGGUAGUGUGUGGUAGUGUGUAUGGUAGUGUGUAUGGUAAUGUGUAUUGUCAUGUGCAUGGUAGUGUGUGUGUGGUAAUGUGUGGUAGUGUGUAUGGUAGUGUGUGUGGUAGUGUGUAUGGUAGUGUGUAUGGUAGUGUGUGGCAGUGUGUAUGGUAGUGUGUGUGGUAGUGUGUGUGUGUGUGUGGUAGUGUGUAUGGUAGUGUGUGGCAGUGUGUAUGGUAGUGUGUGUGGUAGUGUGUGUGGUAGUGUGUGUGGUAGUGUGUGUGUGUGUGGCAGUGUGUAUGGUAGUGUGUGUGGUAGUGUGUGUGGUAGUGUGUAUGGUAGUGUGUAUGGUAAUGUGUGUGUGGUAGUGUGUAUUGUCAUGUGCAUGGUAGUGUGUGUGUGUGUGUGUGUGGUAAUGUGUGGUAGUGUGUGUGUGUGUGUGUGUGGUAGUGUGUGUGGUGGUGUACAGUAGAGUGUGUUGUAGUGUGUGUGGUAGUGUGUAUGGUAGUGUAUGGUAGUGUGUGUUGUAGUGUGUGUGGUAGUGUGUAUGGUAGAGUAUGGUAGUGUGGGUUGUAGUGUGUGUGGUAGUGUACAGUAGUGUGUGUUGUAGUGUGUGUGGUAGUGUGUAUGGUAGUGUGUGUGGUAGUGUGUGUGGUAGUGUGUGUGGUAGUGUGUAUGGUAGUGUGUAUGGUAAUGUGUGUGUGGUAGUGUGUAUUGUCAUGUGCAUGGUAGUGUGUGUGUGUGUGUGUGGUAAUGUGUGGUAGUGUGUAUGGUAGUGUGUGUGGUAGUGUGUAUGGUAGUGUGUGGCAGGGUGUAUGGUAGUGUGUGUGGUAGUGUGUGUGUGUGUGGUAGUGUGUAUGGUAGUGUGUGGCAGUGUGUAUGGUAGUGUGUGUGGUAGUGUGUGUGGUAGUGUGUAUGGUAGUGUGUGUGGCAGUGUGUAUGGUAGUGUGUGGUAGUGUGUGUGGUAGUGUGUGUGGUAGUGUGUAUGGUAGUUCGUAUGGUAAUGUGUGUGUGGUAGUGUGUAUUGUCAUGUGCAUGGUAGUGUGUGUGUGUGUGUGUGUGUGUGUGUGUGUGUGUGUGUGUGUGUGUGUGUGUGUGUGUGUGUGUGUGUGUGUGUGUGUGUGUGUGUGUGUGUGUGUGUGGUAAUGUG
RNAcentral lists this long non-coding RNA (1442 nucleotides) under Salmo salar (Atlantic salmon). RNAcentral's name for it is "lncRNA (ENSSSAG00000089613.1)". The record is from RNAcentral. Lineage: Eukaryota; Metazoa; Chordata; Actinopteri; Salmoniformes; Salmonidae.